UGGAGCAUCAGGAGGAGGACGUCAGCGAGGAGGAGCUCACAUACACAGAGAUGAAGUCUCGCUGGAAGCAAAAGGAGUUCAUUGCCAAAUCAUGGGAAGAUUACGUUUCCAGGACUUCAAACUAUGAGACCUUAAAGGAAGUAAAAGCACAGAGGGAAAAGGAUGCUGAAUCAUCCAGAGCUAAACCAAAGGACGAGGGCGCUGCU
Archocentrus centrarchus (flier cichlid) is the source of this 206-nucleotide long non-coding RNA. RefSeq lists it as uncharacterized. The transcript has 3 exons. The record is from RefSeq and is a predicted model, not a curated record. NCBI's taxonomy places the organism in Eukaryota, Metazoa, Chordata, Actinopteri, Cichliformes, Cichlidae.